This 471-nucleotide ribosomal RNA is filed under the name uncultured bacterium. RNAcentral's name for it is "bacterial SSU rRNA". It matches the Rfam family "Bacterial small subunit ribosomal RNA", at positions 355 to 825 of the family's 1533-position model. The record is from RNAcentral.
UGGGGAAUAUUGGGCAAUGGGCGCAAGCCUGACCCAGCAAUACCGCGUGCGUGAAGAAGGCCUGAGGGUUGUAAAGCACUUUCAAUGGGGAGGAAAAAGGCAAGUUUAAUACGCUUGCCCUUGACAUUACCCAUACAAGAAGCACCGGCUAACUACGUGCCAGCAGCCGCGGUAAUACGUAGGGUGCGAGCGUUAAUCGGAAUUACUGGGCGUAAAGCGUGCGCAGGCGGCCGCGCAAGUCAGGUGUGAAAUCCCCGGGCUUAACCUGGGAAUUGCGCUUGAAACUAUGCGGCUUGAGUGUGGCAGAGGGGGGUGGAAUUCCACGUGUAGCAGUGAAAUGCGUAGAGAUGUGGAGGAACACCGAUGGCGAAGGCAGCCCCCUGGGCUAACACUGACGCUCAUGCACGAAAGCGUGGGGAGCAAACAGGAUUAGAUACCCAAGUAGUCCCUGAGCGGGCUGGCAAGGCGCAU